This 699-nucleotide small RNA is filed under the name Pan troglodytes (chimpanzee). Its description in RNAcentral is "processed transcript". The record is from RNAcentral. Lineage: Eukaryota; Metazoa; Chordata; Mammalia; Primates; Hominidae.
CUUCUAUAAUGCAAAGGCUGGGUUCUGCUCUUGUAAUGCAAGGUGAAUGAUAAAUUCAAGGUCUUUUUCAGGUCUUCAAAAUCUCUUCUUCUCUGGGUGCUCGGGGCUUAGAUGGUGAACCUGGGCCUCAGGGUCUUCCUGGUGCACCUGGUGAUCAAGGACAGCGAGGACCUCCAGGAGAAGCAGGUCCCAAAGGAGAUAGAGGGGUUGAAGGUGCUAGAGGAAUUCCUGGUCUCCCUGGGUCCAAAGGAGACACGGGUUUGCCAGGUGUGGAUGGCCGUGAUGGGAUCCCUGGAAUGCCUGGAACAAAGGGUGAACCAGGAAAACCUGGGCCUCCUGGUGAUGCAGGAUUGCAGGGGUUACCAGGUGUACCUGGAAUUCCUGGUGCAAAGGGUGUUGCUGGUGAAAAGGGUAGCGCAGGUGCUCCAGGGAAGCCUGGUCAGAUGGGAAAUUCAGGCAAACCGGGCCAACAGGGGCCUCCAGGAGAGGUGGGACCCCGAGGACCCCAGGGGCUUCCUGGCAGUAGAGGAGAAUUAGGACCCGUGGGAUCCCCAGGCCUACCAGGUAAACUGGGUUCUCUGGGUAGCCCUGGCCUCCCUGGCUUGCCUGGGCCCCCUGGACUUCCUGGAAUGAAAGGUGACAGGGGUGUAGUCGGUGAACCGGGUCCAAAGGGUGAACAGGGUGCCUCUGGUGAAGAAG